UUGUGUGUGAGGAGCAAGUGUAAAUCAAAAAGCGUCUGGGGUGGAAACACGGCAACACUCCCGGAUGUUUUUUGUU
Molecule: small RNA, 76 nt
Organism: Scytonema hofmannii PCC 7110
Lineage: Bacteria; Bacillati; Cyanobacteriota; Cyanophyceae; Nostocales; Scytonemataceae
Rfam family: Cyano-1 RNA
Source: Rfam